This 4374-nucleotide long non-coding RNA is filed under the name Olea europaea (common olive). Its description in RNAcentral is "long non-coding RNA (OEUR_LNC001125)". The record is from RNAcentral. Lineage: Eukaryota; Viridiplantae; Streptophyta; Magnoliopsida; Lamiales; Oleaceae.
UUGGGGUGGUGAAACCCAUCAUAGCAUUGGAAGAAUUAGUGAGAUAGAGAAUGAUGGUCUGCUGAUAAUUGAAAUUCCCAAUCGACCUAUUCCAUGGCAGGCUGAUCCUUCUGACAUGGAAAAGGUCGAGGAUUUCAAGGUAUUAUCUGCAUAAUUUGUUUUUCUGUUUUGAAACAUGAAUAUACAGGAUGACAGUUUUUACUGCCAAUAUUCAAUAUAAUUUUAUCAGGUAAGAGAUUGGGUUAGAGUAAAGGCAUCUGUUUCUUCCCCAAAAUAUGGGUGGGAGGACGUAACGAGGAACAGCAUCGGUGUAAUUCAUUGUUUGGAGGAGGAUGGUGAUAUGGAAGUCGCAUUUUGCUUCAAGAGCAAACUUUUCCGCUGUUCUGCGACAGAUGUGGAGAAGGUUCCCCAUUUUGAAGUGGGACAAGAGAUACACGUGAUGCCUUCUGUUACAAUGCCCAGGCUUGGAUGGUCCAGUGAGACACCUGCUACUGUUGGAAAAAUUGCAAGGAUCGACAUGGAUGGUUCUUUAAAUGUAAGCUGGUUCUCUUUUUGGUUGCUUAUCUUGCAUUAGGUUUAGGAAGGGACCUCAACUAUGAUAAUGAUCUACCAGAUUAUUUCCAAUUCAUUGUCCAGUUUGGUAGGAUGUUACUGAUUAAGAAUUAAGGAAUUAGGGUUCCUCAAUGAUAAUUGUAUGCCGUGUACUCUCGUUUAGAACACAAAUUAGGAUGGCAUUUUGAUACAAGCUAUUAAGUCAAAACUUUUUUCUCCUGCUAAUGAUAUAAUUAAUCAGCAAAGAAAAUAUUGUAUCAUCAAUGUGCAACUGUAUGUGCAGUAUGUGGUUAAUUUCAUUGUCGUGGCUAAAGACUUUUGCAUGGUUCUAUAUUGCUUAGGUAUCAAAAUGGAGACUGGGUGAAAUUUAGAAGAAGCAUUACAACACCAACAUAUGGUUGGCAAGGUGCAACAGAGAGGAGUGUUGGUUUUGUACAAAGUGUCCCAGACAACAACAAUCUCAUUGUGUCCUUUUGCACUGGAGAAGCCAAGGUACUGGUAAUUGAAGUCAUAAAGGUAAUUCCACUUGACAGAGGACAGCAUGUGCAACUUAAGCCAGAUGUCAAAGAGCCAAAGUACGUCCCGUCUAUUAUCAAGACAUUAUCUUUAGGCAUACUAGUUUUUUAUUAGGUUAACAUUGGUUCCACGAUGUAUGUCUCAUCUUUGUUGUCAUACUAUUGGGUUUUUUAAACUCUUAGCUUUUAAAUCUUGUUCUGCUUCAUAAUUGCAUCAUUAUGCUGUUCUUGUAGUUACUGUAUUCUUAAAAUUUCCUUCUCUCCAUCCAGUCACUUUUCUUUUAUGAUGAUCAAUGCAAUAAUUUCAGGACUUCUAAAAAUGAUACCAAACUGGGUGACGCUUUAAUUAGACUUGUUUCACAUUCUGGUUUCAUUAAUCAUAUUGAGUUUUCAGAGGCAAGGCUAGAAAUGCAUCUGAGAAUUAGAGUUUUCUGAGGAUUUUAUGUUCUACCAUAAACUUUACUUGCACAUGGAAAUUAGGUGUCUAAGACGUAGAUGUCUGCUUAGGGAAUGAGAUUUUAUCUUGGAAACGAAAAAUAUUAAUUCACAAUCUUGUAUAGAAGGUUCUAUUGCUUGGGUGCCAAGUAUGGGGCUAGUUCAUUCUUUUCUUCACUAUUAAUCAACUGUAAAAACACCAGGAAACAUGAAUUGAAGAUUCAGGUGCUCUUAGAAUUUCUAAGGUGCUGGGACCUGAUAUAAACAAUGGGCAGAACAGCCAGGCAAGAAAAAAUGUCAACCAGAUAUGGCCUGGCUGCUUUUUUAUUGGACUGCAAGAGUUGUUUAUUUUUAUCUCUACUUUUUUUUCACCCAUACUAGGUAUUUGUAUGUAUCCAGAUUUCGUUCUUUCACUAUGAGUUCACUACAUCGAAGUCGUUCUAUCUAGUUCUUUUUAUUGAUAGUUUCGAUGAAUGAAAAAAUGAAACAAAAAAUCCCAUGAAUUUAUUUAUUUAUUUAUUUUUCUGGUCAUUUGUUUUACAAUGAAAGAGGUCUUUCUUCAAGUAAAAAAUUGAAUUUUAAUGCAAACUCUGAGAAUUAAAUAUUGUAGUGAUUUACCACAUCAGUUCAAACGAUUUUUUUCUCUCAUAUGCACUGUACACUUUCUAUUCGUACUCAGUUUUUUGAAUCUUUUUGAAUUGAAUUAGAUGUUAAUGUAAAUGAACCAUAAAUAUGUAGCCCUAUUCCUAAUAGAUUGACCCGAAAAAUAGAAUGACUAGUAGGUAGAGGGCACGACCUAUUUUAGCGGUACUGCCAUUGCACUUCUUUUGGUUUUUGGGGGCAUUUCCACUAAUACAUCAAUUGAAAUCACGGUAGCUGUACCACUGAAAAAAUUGGUACCACCUUCCUACUGAGUGUUCCCCCUCUCCUUUCUCCUUUGGGGACUGUGGCUGGUGGCAAUAAUUGCCAUUGUAGCAAACUUUUAUUCUGUUCACACCAGUGCAAUUCAAUUUAGUAUUGUGAAUCACCUGCAAUCAAGAAUCAGAGUGAGUCUUGUUGGAGAUGAUGUUUUCUUCCUAUUUGCUGCAAUCAAUUAAUUGUUUUCAGAUUUUUCAUAUAAAAAAUAGCUAAAUUUUUUAUUCUGUGCUUAAUUUGAAACCUUGUUUACAGUUUCAAAUUUUUUGGAUUAAUAAUUUGAAAAUAGUAUCUUAAUGUCCCUUGUAAAAAUUGAUAAUUGAUGCUUCACCGAAGUGUAGAAAAUAAAUUUUGGAUCUUAUUAUGAAAAGAGUAAAAACAAUACAAACAGUGAUAACUGAUGAAUGUCUACCAUCAUCUAAUGUUCCUGUUGAUGAAUAAUAGAGCCAUUUGCUUGGUUGUAGACCAAAUCUCUUUUUAAUUACACCGUUGAAAAGAGAACUACAUGCUGACAAAAAAUGGAGAGCAUUUAUCCUCAAUUGAAAUGUUCCUAUACACAUUACCUUACCCAACACACACACAGUUUGCCUUCAUAACAAUCUAAUUUACCAAAUCAUCUUAAAGUUAGAAUUCACUCAGAGAUGUAGAUCCCCUGGACGCACUAAGAAACAGACUUCAUCCAAAGGAAAUUCUUGUGUCACAAUGAGAUUUCAAAGAAUUUCUCAUUCUCAAGUAGUUUAUCUUGCAGCAAUUUUGGUUUAAACAUUAUGGAUUUUUGCUGCAAGCUUAAAUUGUGGCCCUUUGAGUAAACACGAUGAUACCAAAUAUUCUUAUAUGGCACAAUAAUUAGUUUUGUGUUUCUGCAGAUUCGGUUGGCGUGGUCAAUCGCGUGACAGCAUUGGAACAGUUCUUUGUGUUGAUGAUGAUGGAAUUCUGCGUGUCGGUUUUCCUGGAGCAUCCAGAGGAUGGAAAGCUGAUCCUGCGGAAAUGGAAAGAGUUGAAGAAUUCAAGGUUGGGGACUGGGUUCGCAUACGGCCCACACUGACUACAGCGAAACACGGAUUAGGAUCUGUAACUCCAGGAAGCAUUGGUGUAGUGUACUGUAUUAGACCAGAUAGUAGUCUUUUACUGGAACUAAGCUAUCUUCCAGCUCCAUGGCAUUGUGAACCUGAGGAGGUUGAACAUGUUGAGCCAUUUAGGGUAAGGGAAUUUACUAUAGCAUGAAGGAGGUUGAAUAUGUCAAAUUCUUGUUCUUUGUUCUUUUUUCCCUCCUCAUUUUUACACUUUAGGUCUUUUCUACCAUAUAUAAUUCUGUUGCUUUUACAGAUUGGUGACCGGGUUUGUGUAAAGCGCUCUGUUGCUGAGCCAAGAUAUGCUUGGGGUGGUGAAACCCAUCAUAGCAUUGGAAGAAUUAGUGAGAUAGAGAAUGAUGGUCUGCUGAUAAUUGAAAUUCCCAAUCGACCUAUUCCAUGGCAGGCUGAUCCUUCUGACAUGGAAAAGGUCGAGGAUUUCAAGGUAUUAUCUGCAUAAUUUGUUUUUCUGUUUUGAAACAUGAAUAUACAGGAUGACAGUUUUUACUGCCAAUAUUCAAUAUAAUUUUAUCAGGUAAGAGAUUGGGUUAGAGUAAAGGCAUCUGUUUCUUCCCCAAAAUAUGGGUGGGAGGACGUAACGAGGAACAGCAUCGGUGUAAUUCAUUGUUUGGAGGAGGAUGGUGAUAUGGAAGUCGCAUUUUGCUUCAAGAGCAAACUUUUCCGCUGUUCUGCGACAGAUGUGGAGAAGGUUCCCCAUUUUGAAGUGGGACAAGAGAUACACGUGAUGCCUUCUGUUACAAUGCCCAGGCUUGGAUGGUCCAGUGAGACACCUGCUACUGUUGGAAAAAUUGCAAGGAUCGACAUGGAUGGUUCUUUAAAUGUAAGCUGGUUCUCUUUUUGGUUGCUUAUCUUGCAUUAGGUUUAGG